GACGAACGCUGGCGGCGUGCUUAACACAUGCAAGUCGAGCGAUGAAGUUUCUUCGGAAAUGGAUUAGCGGCGAACGGGUGAGGAACACGUGAAGAAUCUGCCCUCCACUUUGGGAUAACACCGGGAAACCGGUGCUAAUACCGAAUAUUGAAACAUAAGUGGCAUCACUGAGUUUUGAAAGAAUUUCGGUGGAGGAUGACUUCGCGGCCUAUCAGCUAGUUGGUGAGGUAAUGGCUCACCAAGGCAACGACGGGUAGCCGGCCUGAGAGGGCGACCGGCCACACUGGGACUGAGACACGGCCCAGACUCCUACGGGAGGCAGCAGUGGGGAAUAUUGGGCAAUGGAGGAAACUCUGACCCAGCGACGCCGCGUGCGGGAUGAAGGCCU
This 388-nucleotide ribosomal RNA is filed under the name uncultured bacterium. Its description in RNAcentral is "bacterial SSU rRNA". It matches the Rfam family "Bacterial small subunit ribosomal RNA", at positions 28 to 417 of the family's 1533-position model. The record is from RNAcentral.